Molecule: ribosomal RNA, 433 nt
Filed under: uncultured bacterium
Lineage: Bacteria
Description: partial 16S ribosomal RNA
Rfam family: Bacterial small subunit ribosomal RNA
Source: RNAcentral
AACGAACGCUGGCGGCAUGCCUAACACAUGCAAGUCGAACGAAGCCUUCGGGCUUAGUGGCGCACGGGUGCGUAACGCGUGGGAAUCUGCCCCUUGCUUCGGAAUAACAGUUAGAAAUGACUGCUAAUACCGGAUGAAGUCUUCGGACCAAAGAUUUAUCGGCAAGGGAUGAGCCCGCGUAGGAUUAGGUAGUUGGUGGGGUAAAGGCCUACCAAGCCGACGAUCCUUAGCUGGUCUGAGAGGAUGAUCAGCCACACUGGGACUGAGACACGGCCCAGACUCCUACGGGAGGCAGCAGUGGGGAAUAUUGGACAAUGGACGCAAGUCUGAUCCAGCAAUGCCGCGUGAGUGAUGAAGGCCUUAGGGUUGUAAAGCUCUUUUACCAGGGAUGAUAAUGACAGUACCUGGAGAAUAAGCUCCGGCUAACUCUGUG